UACUCUUCCCUCAAAUCCCUCCACAGAGCACUUCAUCAUUUGCUCCGCCCUCUAAUAACUCAUGCAAGAAAAGUUCAGCACCAUCGGAGAGAAACAGGACAGAAUUCAGAGAAUGGCUUUAAGGCCUUUCCUCCAGGCGGAAUCCUCAAUGGCCGAACCCAAAUGGAAGACAGAAGGCACAGCGAGCAGCCCCUUGUAGUUCCCACAGGCAGCCCCGUGGGCAGAGAGCAGGAUGGAGAAGAGGAAAUGUACGGGCACAGAUUUAAAAUGGAAUGGUCGUGGAAAUACAUUUCGAAACUUGUGGAGCGUU
Long non-coding RNA from Rhinopithecus roxellana (golden snub-nosed monkey), 310 nucleotides. RefSeq lists it as uncharacterized. The transcript has 2 exons. The record is from RefSeq and is a predicted model, not a curated record. NCBI's taxonomy places the organism in Eukaryota, Metazoa, Chordata, Mammalia, Primates, Cercopithecidae.